UAAGUGGAGGCCAAGGAUGAGGCGCCUAGCUGUUAAUUAGGAGAUUGUAAAGAAGAUUACUCACUUAG
Molecule: transfer RNA, 68 nt
Filed under: Conomurex luhuanus
Lineage: Eukaryota; Metazoa; Mollusca; Gastropoda; Littorinimorpha; Strombidae
Description: tRNA-Asn
Source: RNAcentral